GUAGUACUAUUCUGUAACUAAUGUAUUGUAUAGCAGUAUAUAUGUGAAAAUCCCGAAAAAUCAAAAGUAAUUAAACGAGCUUAAUGUUUGUUGGGGAAGAAGAAGAGAAAAUGAGGAAGAAGAUGAAGAAGAAGCUGCGCAGGUUAGUAAAUCAAAAGUAAUCUGUAAGUAAUUUAUUGUAUAGCAGUAUAUAUGCGAAGGGUUAGGCACUGGUAGGGUAGUAAUAUUAUUAUAAAAUAAGAGUAUAUUUGUCUUUUUACUAUAUCUUAUCGAUUUAUCGAUAAAC
Molecule: long non-coding RNA, 286 nt
Filed under: Nicotiana benthamiana
Lineage: Eukaryota; Viridiplantae; Streptophyta; Magnoliopsida; Solanales; Solanaceae
Description: long non-coding RNA (NBEN_LNC009694)
Source: RNAcentral